UUUUAUUUAUGAUUUAAAUUAAUAAAGUUGGGUAUUAAAAACAUUUGUUCUAAAUCCAAAAAAUUUGGCGGUGCUUUAAAAAAUCAGGGGAACUUGCAUAUUAAAUCGAUAAUCCACGAAAAUCUUACUUUUAAUUGAAACUCAGUUAGUGUAUUGCCGCAAUAAUAUAAAUUUAUAAUUAUAUAUAAAUAAGAUGUUAAAUCUAUGAUAGCAGGUCAAAGUGCAGCUUAUAUAAAAGGUGUUUGUGAGUUACAUUAUUAAUAAAGUAUGAACUAAAUAAAUGAAAUUUUUAUAAAAAUGGACUUGAUAGUAAUUAAUUUAUAUAAUGAAUUAAUGACUUAAAGUGUGU
Molecule: ribosomal RNA, 349 nt
Filed under: Cystobranchus respirans
Lineage: Eukaryota; Metazoa; Annelida; Clitellata; Hirudinida; Piscicolidae
Description: partial 12S ribosomal RNA
Source: RNAcentral